Long non-coding RNA from Pseudophryne corroboree (corroboree frog), 793 nucleotides. RefSeq lists it as uncharacterized. Lineage: Eukaryota; Metazoa; Chordata; Amphibia; Anura; Myobatrachidae. The record is from RefSeq and is a predicted model, not a curated record. The transcript is spliced from 3 exons.
CAUUAGUGGAUUUUGGAUCCCUAUUUAUUUUGUGCCCAAGUAGGCUGCAUUUUUGUUGAUUUUUCAAACACAUUUGAUUCUUCAUUUAUUGAGCAGAAAUGGAGUACGCUCCUGCAAUCCUGUCCCUGAAUGCUAAGUUCCCGGGGAACUCCCAUGAUGCCCAUGUCAUUAGACAAUCAGGGAUAUGGCACAGAUUAAGAUCGAUGGAAGGACAAGACAUGUGGUUAUUGGGUGAGUGUUUUUUUUAACUUACAAUAAUAUUUUUAAUUUUAAGAUUCUAAUUAUUUUCUUUUCUUCUCAUCAAACAGGAGACCGUGGAUAUCCUUGCACCCCCUGGCUCAUGACUCCUUACAGUAAGCCCAGGCCAGGACCACAGACGGCAUUUAACUCCGCGCUUACUGCCACUAGACAGCUGGUGGAGCGCAUGAUUGGUGUCCUUAAAGGGCGCUUUCAUGUGCUCCACCGCACUGGUGGCGACAUCAUGUAUUCGCCGGAGAUGGUAAGUAAAAUUGUGGUCCUGUGCGCUAUCCUACAUAACAUCGCUGUAAGGAGUCGCGUUGAGCUUCCUCACACAGAGGAAUUGCCAGAUGAGGAGCCAGGGGUUGGGCGGAGAGUCGGUGGGGGGAGUGUUUCCCGGAGGGGAAACGAAAUAAGGGCACGCAUUGUGCGGGAAUAUUUCAGGUAUAGUGAAUUGUUACAAAUUAUAAAAAUAUUAAACAAAGUCACUGUAUAUUUAUGUUCAUUUUGCUCUGAUGUCAUUUAGGUAGCUAUUGAAAGCUCAUUGUGUAAUUGU